CGGCGCGGCAUCGUGCAGGAAUCGCGCCGGCAGGCGCAGCCCCCACAGAUCCGGCACGGCGGCGACGGCGUGCUCCUCGACGCCGCACUGGUGCGCCCACAUGCAAAAGACGCCGUCGUGAGGCGACAGUCGGGUGGCGGGUCCGCCGCGCGCCAGGUAAUACCGGCCGCCGGUCUUCAUGUCGGUGCUCCAUCCGACGAGGGUCACCACGGCGGCGCCCAGACGACCGGGCGACGUUACAUGAUGGGGCUGGGCGUCGGCGCGGUGCGCGUAGAUGCCACCGAUCCAACUCGCCGCGUAGGCCUCGGGCCACGCCAGAUCCUCGUGGACGUCGAUGGCCGUGGUGACCGGUCCCCGAAGGUAGAUCUCGGCGCACACGGCGUCGCCGAGACGGUCGCGCCGUCCGACGCCGUCGUUGCCAUCGUCGGGCGGCGCCGGUCUAUAGUAGACGAUCGACUUAACGCGCCGGGCGGCCUCGGGCGGCUGUCCGGGUUCGCGCGCACCCCACACGUACUGGUCGCGGUGGAGGGCGACGAGGCUGGGCGAGCGGGCGUCGCCGCGCGGCUCGGUCUCGUCGGGAUGGGGUGCCACGAGAUCGACGGCCACGGCGCCGCGCGACACGAUGGCCACGCGGUCGGCUAGGGCGCGCGCGCACUCGUCGCGCGCCGACACGGAACCCUUGGGCUGCGGCGACAGCAACCGGCGCCACUUGCGGCGCCCGUCAAAGUGGUCGGGGAGGACGAGACCGCGCUCGGCCAAGGUGGCCGCUGUGUCGACCCUCGCCAGCGACGCGUAUUCGGCCGCCGCCAUCGGCGUCUCGUGGUACAGCGAGACGUCGUGCCACCACCCAUCCAUUUUUUUCCUUGUUUCUUCUGUUCUCUCUCUCUCUCUCUCUCUCUCUUGUUGUCUCGUCUUUUGGCUUUUAUGGACCCUGUCCUGUUGUCUAGAGCAGGGAGGUCUCUCUGGUGGUUUGGGUUCUCUUUCUUUUUCCUUGUCCUAGGACAAAAUGCUUUGGCGCGCGGCGGCCGACGCUGCCGCUCCAGGCAAGGCCCAAAAGUGCGAGAUAGAGACCAUAAAGGCCAAGAAAAGAGAAAAGAAAAAGGGGUUCGGCGGCGCCACACCGAGCGGCCGGCCGACUUUAGCCGCUACGCACGCCACAAUCUGAAUUUGCAUACCGUAAUAAAAAAACAAAAUGAAAUGAAAUGAAAAAGAACACCUAAACCCAGACGCAUGGACGACCCGCGCGAAUGGACCCUGGCCUGUGCGUGCGCACUCAUUUGUGACCACAUUCGGCUGGUCUCGCUGGAAAAAAA
Molecule: long non-coding RNA, 1313 nt
Filed under: Pandoravirus dulcis
Description: putative ncRNA
Source: RNAcentral